Long non-coding RNA from Helianthus annuus (common sunflower), 840 nucleotides. RefSeq lists it as uncharacterized. NCBI's taxonomy places the organism in Eukaryota, Viridiplantae, Streptophyta, Magnoliopsida, Asterales, Asteraceae. The transcript has 2 exons. The record is from RefSeq and is a predicted model, not a curated record.
CUCUUUUUGGUGCAGAUGUGAGAGUGGGUAUUCUUACCUCUUCUUUCUUUCUUUUACACAAACCCUACACCUCCUUCUUCUUCUCCUCCACCACUGUCGUCCUCCACAACCACCUUCCCACCGCCACCCUCCAUUUCCGGUACAAGUCUCCCUUUUUCUUUCCCGUUUUGGGGGUUUUCCAACUUGGGGGUUAGGGAUCAUCACUCGAUUCGUGUAUGAUAAGUUCGAUAAUACUUAUCAGGUAACCUAAUUUGAUCUAGCUAUAUGUUGUUAAGCUGUUAAUGAUGGAAAAGUUAUGGAUAUUAUUCACACCUUCGUUCCCUCAAGCAAAAGGGGUUUAGGGUUACCUUCACAUUUCUCUGUUGCUGCCUUUAAUCACGCUCAAUCCAAUAAGUUAUCAGUUAUCCCCACCUGCUCCUACAUCUCUGGGCUUGUUUUCUUCUUCUCACCCAGGGCCCAAAUUUUUUCGAGAAUUAUCGGAGACGGCGUCAACCUGAUUUUCAAAUGUUAUCUAACCUGUUUAAUUUUUCACCAAUGGACUUUCAUGGAUAAUUUGAACAUAUAUAUCAAAGUAUGUGGGCAGGCUUAACCUGAUUCUAUGCAUGUAUUUGUGCCGGUUUUUUCUAAAAAUUCUACAAUGUAUUCCAAUGGAUUUUUGUGGCCAAGUCAAUGACGUAGGACAGAAUCAAAUUGGAACACGCUUUCCUUGUUGUUUUCUACAUGUGAAAAGUCUUAUGAAGUUACAUUUUUGUUGUGUUAUGUUGUUGUGACUCAACAGAUUGAACUCUUGCCCUUGUAUUCAUGAUGUUGUUUUCAUGGUAUUGUGAUGUUUUGGUACUA